This 72-nucleotide transfer RNA is filed under the name Ipomoea nil (Japanese morning glory). It matches the Rfam family "tRNA". Rfam says of the family: Transfer RNA (tRNA) molecules are approximately 80 nucleotides in length. Their secondary structure includes four short double-helical elements and three loops (D, anti-codon, and T loops). Lineage: Eukaryota; Viridiplantae; Streptophyta; Magnoliopsida; Solanales; Convolvulaceae. The record is from Rfam by way of RNAcentral.
GGGUGUGUAGCUCAUAUGGUAAAGCGCUCGCUUGCGAAGCGAGAGGCACAGGGUUUAAUUCCCUGUUUUCCA